AACGUAGGAGGCGAGCGUUAUCCGGAUUUACUGGGUGUAAAGCGCGUGCAGGCGGUUUAGCAAGUCGUGCGUGAAAGCGCUCUGGCUCAACCGGGCGAGGACGUGCGGAACUGCUGAACUAGAGGCAGGUAGAGGCGUGUGGAAUUCCGGGUGUAGUGGUGAAAUGCGUAGAGAUCCGGAGGAACACCAGUGGCGAAGGCGACGCGCUGGGCCUGACCUGACGCUAAGACGCGAAAGCAUGGGGAGCGAACGGG
This 254-nucleotide ribosomal RNA is filed under the name uncultured bacterium. RNAcentral's name for it is "partial 16S ribosomal RNA". It matches the Rfam family "Bacterial small subunit ribosomal RNA", at positions 524 to 776 of the family's 1533-position model. The record is from RNAcentral.